CAGUAGCCGCGGUAAUACAGAGGGUGCGAGCGUUAAUCGGAUUUACUGGGCGUAAAGCGUGCGUAGGCGGCUUCUUAAGUCGGAUGUGAAAUCCCUGAGCUUAACUUAGGAAUUGCAUUCGAUACUGGGAAGCUAGAGUAUGGGAGAGGAUGGUAGAAUUCCAGGUGGAGCGGUGAAAUGCGUUGAGAUCGGAAAGAACACCAACGGCGAAAGCACUCUGCUGGGCCGACACUGACACUGAGAGACGAAAGCUAGGGGAGCAAAUGGGAUUAGAUACCCCGGUAGUCCCUGUCUCUUAUAC
This 301-nucleotide ribosomal RNA is filed under the name uncultured bacterium. RNAcentral's name for it is "partial 16S ribosomal RNA". It matches the Rfam family "Bacterial small subunit ribosomal RNA", at positions 509 to 807 of the family's 1533-position model. The record is from RNAcentral.